RNAcentral lists this ribosomal RNA (253 nucleotides) under uncultured bacterium. RNAcentral describes it as "partial 16S ribosomal RNA". It matches the Rfam family "Bacterial small subunit ribosomal RNA", at positions 524 to 776 of the family's 1533-position model. The record is from RNAcentral.
UACGUAGGUGGCAAGCGUUGUCCGGAUUUACUGGGCGUAAAGGGCGUGCAGGCGGUCUGUUUAGUCUAGGGUGAAAGCUCCCGGCUCAACUGGGAGAGGUCCUUGGAUACUGGCAGACUCGAGGGAGGCAGAGGAAAGUGGAAUUCCCGGUGUAGUGGUGAUAUGCGUAGAUAUCGGGAGGAACACCAGUGGCGAAGGCGGCUUUCUGGGCCUUACCUGACGCUGAGACGCGAAAGCGUGGGGAGCGAACCGG